CCAGCCUUCAAUGCCGAGGUGGUUUCCAAUUUUUCAAUGGUUAUAAAUACCACUGUGAUAAUCACCCAGUGGAUAAAUCUUUUUGUUUCUCCACCGUUACUUCCUCAGUGGGGGAAAGAAAAAAAGUCUCAAAAGUGAAUUUUCCGGGGUAAAAGUACUAUUUUAAAAUCCGUGUAGUUGCAGGUCUUACUGUAAUUUCUUGUGAUCCAAGCUGUCUUUAAGACCUGGGAGAAUUAGUACACCAAAAUAGAGCUGUUGGGCCAGAUGCAGUGUGAGUAAGAUUUCUGUUGUCACUGGAGUGGAGACAGCAUCACCCAGUAAAACACACCAGAAGCUCAGGGCCAGGAGGGCCGGUAAGUGGCCAUCGACUGUCACCGCCGGCGGUGUGUUGAAACAACGCGUGACCAGCUGAGGUGGUGGUGAGGAUGUCCAAGUCCCCGAGCUGCGGUGACGGCGGCAGUGAAGAUUGUCACAGAUCACCGGGCAGACGUGAUGAACAACUGACUCAGAUAAUAGGAAAGAACUGCCUCUGUGUUCCUGCUCCAGAAGAUGCCAUCUCUGCCCUUCUGAUGUGGUCCUCAACCUGAGAGAGAGAGAGACAGAAAGAGACAGAGACAGAGACAGAGACAGAGACACAGAGAGGCACAGACAGUGCCCACCCUGUGCUUCUCUAUUUUCCUGUCACAUAUGCACCUGAGGCCACGACCAAAGGGGUGUGGUCACUAACACAAAUUCACCGACAAGACGAGAGAUGCUACUACACAUGUGGGUGCUGGUAACCAAAUCCAGAUCCUCCGGAAGAACAGCCAGUGCUCUUAACCACUGAACCCUCUCCCCAGUCCCGUCCCAUAUGCCUUUUAAUAUGGGGUACCAGAAAAACGCCACGGUGGGGGGUCCUCUAUACCAGUUCCUUCCUGGGACUCUCUGGUCAUGUGCCUCUCUGAUCUGCUUCUUUCUUUGAGAGGAUACACAGGGAGGGCGUGGUUCAGCCCUGUGGAGGCUGGAUGACCCAAGCAGGGGCUAUUCUGGCAUCUUCUGAUGUGUGUGAAGGACUCAAGCCACGGUGACAUUUGUUCUGACCCUGACCCUGACCCUGACCCUGACCCUGACCCUGACCCUGAGCUGGCUGGCUGGUGCACACACCUGCAGCUGGCUUUCUGUUUCAGAUGUCUGCAGCUCUUUGGACAUUUGAUGGUCCUGGACAAUGGCCAAGACUCGGUCAGGAGGAGUGGGGCCCAACUCUAGAAGCUUGGGAGGGCUGCGCUUGGAUUCUCAAUGGUGGUCUCAUCUCAGAAAAGGUCCUAGUCCUCAGGACUUGAAAUCCCGGGUCCCAGAACCUCAGUGUGACUUUUCUUUACAGGCAAUGGCUUCGGGAGGUUGUCAAUAUAUAACAGUUCCUAAUACAAUGGGACUGUGUCCUCAGAGGAACAAGACUGUGCGGCACAGAAAGAUGUGUGAAUACCAGACAGAAGUCUCCAUCUGCAAGCCGAGGAUAGGCCUUAGGAGAACCAACCUGGACAUACACCAAGAUGUAGAAGAGGGCCUUCCUCUACUCUCCACAGCCAGGAGCAGACCCAAGUAACGCAGUGCCUGCUGCCACACCAGUCAGACAUUGCUAACUCCUGGGCACUUAGAUCCGUUAACCACCACCUCGGUUCCCCUAUAUUCCAAAGAAAUUAGGAGAUAGAGUCCCAAGCUAAACAUGGACUUAUUUAUAGUCUGGUAAAACUGGGGCAGGGGCACGGAUAGAAAUCUAGACUUCCGUCACCGCCUGAUACCCCUUCUUACAUGCCACAGAAGCCCCGAUGGAGUUACCCACUUACCGUGAGAUGGGUUAACAGGGGCAAAGGGGUCUGGGCAUCAGGUGUCCUUCAUCCAUAAGCUGCUCUGGUGGCAGCUUCGAUUCAAGUCCAGGCUGACAAUACAGAGUCCUCAAGCUUUCUCAUUUUGAAAAGGGACAAAGAUCCGAGAUUCUCACCCAUUCCAGGCCUGACAGAGUUCUGCGCCCCAGAUCUAGUCAUCCCUUUGAUGGCUGAGGUGUGGAAGCCUAUGGCAGCUUCAACUCUAACAUAUGAAUGCCUGUUAUACGCAUUGAUCUCACAGGUGAAAACUGGUGAUUGUCUGAGAGCCAUGGGGAGGUGCAUGGGUCUUUCUUUAGAACAUCAUCUGCCCCCCCAGCUGUCAUCAUAGAUGUGUAGAAUAUCUGUUAGUAGAGGAUGUCCCUUCUCAUCUGUUGUCAGCACAGAUAUACAGAAUACUUAUGUUAGUAGAGGUUAGCUCCCUGUAGCUGCUGUCAGUACAGAUAUACAGAAUACCUAUGUUAGUAGAGGAUACCCCACCCCUGUAGCUGCUGUCAGCACAGGGUCAGUGUUCACAGGGAACAUUUAUAGCCUUCAGCAAAACAUUAUGGUGACAAUGCCAGAGGACACCAUCCUGAGCAUUUAUGUCCCCAGCUUGUGGUCUUCUCCUACUUAUCCCCCAAUAAAAUAUCCUCUGUUGGA
This is a long non-coding RNA of Mesocricetus auratus (golden hamster), 2501 nucleotides long. RefSeq lists it as uncharacterized. The record is from RefSeq and is a predicted model, not a curated record. The transcript has 2 exons. Lineage: Eukaryota; Metazoa; Chordata; Mammalia; Rodentia; Cricetidae.